GAUGAACGCUAGCUACAGGCUUAACACAUGCAAGUCGAGGGGCAGCAUGGUCUUAGCUUGCUAAGACUGAUGGCGACCGGCGCACGGGUGAGUAACACGUAUCCAACCUGCCGUCUACUCUUGGACAGCCUUCUGAAAGGAAGAUUAAUACAAGAUGGCAUCAUGAGUCCGCAUGUUCACAUGAUUAAAGGUAUUCCGGUAGACGAUGGGGAUGCGUUCCAUUAGAUAGUAGGCGGGGUAACGGCCCACCUAGUCUUCGAUGGAUAGGGGUUCUGAGAGGAAGAUCCCCCACAUUGGAACUGAGACACGGUCCAAACUCCUACGGGAGGCAGCAGUGAGGAAUAUUGGUCAAUGGGCGAGAGCCUGAACCAGCCAAGUAGCGUGAAGGAUGACUGCCCUAUGGGUUGUAAACUUCUUUUAUAAAGGAAUAAAGUCGGGUAUGCAUACCCGUUUGCAUGUACUUUAUGAAUAAGGAUCGGCUAACUCCGUGCCAGCAGCCGCGGUAAUACGGAGGAUCCGAGCGUUAUCCGGAUUUAUUGGGUUUAAAGGGAGCGUAGAUGGAUGUUUAAGUCAGUUGUGAAAGUUUGCGGCUCAACCGUAAAAUUGCAAUUGAUACUGGAUAUCUUGAGUGCAGUUGAGGCAGGCGGAAUUCGUGGUGUAGCGGUGAAAUGCUUAGAUAUCACGAAGAACUCCGAUUGCGAAGGCAGCCUGCUAAGCUGCAACUGACAUGAGAGCUCGAAAGUGUGGGUAUCAAACAGGAUUAGAUACCCUGGUAGUCCACACGGUAAACGAUGAAUACUCGCUGUUUGCGAUAUACGGCAAGCGGCCAAGCGAAAGCGUUAAGUAUUCCACCUGGGGAGUACGCCGGCAACGGUGAAACUCAAAGGAAUUGACGGGGGCCCGCACAAGCGGAGGAACAUGUGGUUUAAUUCGAUGAUACGCGAGGAACCUUACCCGGGCUUAAAUUGCAGAUGAAUUACGGUGAAAGCCGUAAGCCGCAAGGCAUCUGUGAAGGUGCUGCAUGGUUGUCGUCAGCUCGUGCCGUGAGGUGUCGGCUUAAGUGCCAUAACGAGCGCAACCCUUGUUGUCAGUUACUAACAGGUUCCGCUGAGGACUCUGACAAGACUGCCAUCGUAAGAUGUGAGGAAGGUGGGGAUGACGUCAAAUCAGCACGGCCCUUACGUCCGGGGCUACACACGUGUUACAAUGGGGGGUACAGAGGGCCGCUACCACGCGAGUGGAUGCCAAUCCCCAAAACCUCUCUCAGUUCGGACUGGAGUCUGCAACCCGACUCCACGAAGCUGGAUUCGCUAGUAAUCGCGCAUCAGCCACGGCGCGGUGAAUACGUUCCCGGGCCUUGUACACACCGCCCGUCAAGCCAUGGGAGCCGGGGGUACCUGAAGUGCGUAACCGCGAGGAGCGCCCUAGGGUAAAACU
Molecule: ribosomal RNA, 1437 nt
Filed under: uncultured organism
Description: SSU rRNA
Rfam family: Bacterial small subunit ribosomal RNA
Source: RNAcentral